RNAcentral lists this ribosomal RNA (490 nucleotides) under uncultured bacterium. RNAcentral's name for it is "partial 16S ribosomal RNA". It matches the Rfam family "Bacterial small subunit ribosomal RNA", at positions 30 to 507 of the family's 1533-position model. The record is from RNAcentral.
AUUGAACGCUGGCGGCAUGCCUUACACAUGCAAGUCGAACGGCAGCAUGAUCUAGCUUGCUAGAUUGAUGGCGAGUGGCGAACGGGUGAGUAAUACAUCGGAACGUGCCCUGUAGUGGGGGAUAACUAGUCGAAAGAUUAGCUAAUACCGCAUACGACCUGAGGGUGAAAGUGGGGGACCGCAAGGCCUCAUGCUAUAGGAGCGGCCGAUGUCUGAUUAGCUAGUUGGUGAGGUAAAGGUUCACCAAGGCGACGAUCAGUAGCUGGUCUGAGAGGACGAUCAGCCACACUGGGACUGAGACACGGCCCAGACUCCUACGGGAGGCAGCAGUGGGGAAUUUUGGACAAUGGGCGAAAGCCUGAUCCAGCAAUGCCGCGUGUGUGAAGAAGGCCUUCGGGUUGUAAAGCACUUUUGUCCGGAAAGAAAUGGCUCUGGUUAAUACCUGGGGUCGAUGACGGUACCGGAAGAAUAAGGACCGGCUAACUACGUG